CCUUAUCAAGAGCGGCGGAGGGUACCGGCCCUGUGAAGCCCGGCAACCUGAUUAAUUUCAAGGUGCCAAAUCCGGCGGAUUAUCCGAAAGAUGAGG
This 96-nucleotide non-coding RNA is filed under the name human gut metagenome. RNAcentral's name for it is "SAM riboswitch (S box leader)". It matches the Rfam family "SAM riboswitch aptamer (S box leader)". Rfam says of the family: The SAM riboswitch is found upstream of a number of genes which code for proteins involved in methionine or cysteine biosynthesis in Gram-positive bacteria. The SAM riboswitch acts at the level of transcription termination control. RNAcentral also lists the same sequence under 1 other name. The record is from RNAcentral.